UGUCCGGUGGUAUAACGGUUAUUACUCCUGAUUUUGGUUCAGGUAAUGGGGGUUCGAUUCCCUCCCGGACUACCA
Molecule: transfer RNA, 75 nt
Filed under: Neolewinella aurantiaca
Lineage: Bacteria; Pseudomonadati; Bacteroidota; Saprospiria; Saprospirales; Lewinellaceae
Description: Lewinella sp. SSH13 tRNA-Gln
Rfam family: tRNA
About the family: Transfer RNA (tRNA) molecules are approximately 80 nucleotides in length. Their secondary structure includes four short double-helical elements and three loops (D, anti-codon, and T loops).
Source: RNAcentral